Molecule: ribosomal RNA, 723 nt
Filed under: Triticum aestivum (bread wheat)
Lineage: Eukaryota; Viridiplantae; Streptophyta; Magnoliopsida; Poales; Poaceae
Description: partial small subunit ribosomal RNA
Source: RNAcentral
AUGACCGGUACAGGGGAGAAAGCCUCAGACACUCCACCUGGUGACACACCCAAGGCUAGUAUACAAAGAAAAGAAAAAGUGGACGCACAAACGGAUAUCCCAACCAUCGGCGCAAAGGAAACAAACAAGGACGAUCAUGCCAAAGAACAGCAAGGAGUACAAACGGAACAAGCCAAAAAACAAGGGCAAAUGGUGACACAAAUGGUACCCAGUACGCCGAAGAAAGAAACAAAUGAAAUGCAAGAAAUAGAGGAGAGCACCAAUAUUCAAGACCAACAAACACAACAACACAAGGGAAUGGAACAAGCGGAAGAUGUUCUUCCAACAACAGACAGCGUAACCGCCGUAGACCAAACUAGGAAACCUUCACUGUCCGGGCAAGAAAUAACAAGGAUGCCACAAGACAAAAACGACGACACCACGGAUGAACAAAAUGAAAAAGAUCCAGAGGAGGUCCAAAAACCUCCACUCACUGAAGGAAAGGUUGAAGAGGCAACACCGGCAGAAACGACUGAAAAGAAACCUCAACAAGACACGCACACAGACACAAGCAAAGAAGCAAAGGGCCAUAGUGCAUUGGAAAACCAUGCAGCAAAUAUUCCAGAGAGAGUCAGACAACAACAAGAAAAAGGCCGCACCAUCAGACAAGAAACAAUGUGCUGUAAAAGAUGUUGCCGCCACAAACACGACGGUAACCCAGGACGGCACUCAAACAGAACGUGA